UUUUAACGGCUGCGGUAUUUUGACUGUGCUAAGGUAGCAUAGUCAUUUGUCAUUUAAUUGAUGACUGGAAUGAAAGGUUAAACUAGCUUAUUAAGUUUGUAGAAUUAGGUAGUAGCUUAAAGUUAAGGUAAGAAUUCUUUAAUUUUCUAGGGGACGAUAAGACCCUAGAAGCUUGACGAGUGUAGUAUUUGGUUUGGGUUAGAAGUAGGUUUGUUUUACUGGGGCGGUAAAAAUAAUUAAGCUAUUUAGUAGUUAAAGGAUCCUUUAAAUAAAGAUAGAAUGGGGAAGUUACUCUAGGGAUAA
RNAcentral lists this ribosomal RNA (303 nucleotides) under Gammarus cf. balcanicus GcfBAL3. Its description in RNAcentral is "partial 16S ribosomal RNA". The record is from RNAcentral. Lineage: Eukaryota; Metazoa; Arthropoda; Malacostraca; Amphipoda; Gammaridae.